Long non-coding RNA from Saccostrea cuccullata (small rock oyster), 406 nucleotides. RefSeq lists it as uncharacterized. NCBI's taxonomy places the organism in Eukaryota, Metazoa, Mollusca, Bivalvia, Ostreida, Ostreidae. The transcript has 4 exons. The record is from RefSeq and is a predicted model, not a curated record.
CUGGACUCAUGACUUGUUUAUAUUUUUAGAUUUCCCUGUUUCAUUUUCGGUGCCGCAUACGACAGAACAUGGUUUUUGUCAUAAUUAUUACUUUUCCUUAGAACACGGUUUCUGUCAUGAGAAAGAAAAAAAAGAUUUCAUCGUCCAUGAACAAAUCAAAAUGAUGAACAAUUUAAUUCCGAACUCUAUAUGAAGGAGGAUGCAAUUAGGAAAAGGUCUUCGCAUUACAUUUUACAUAAUUUCCUCCACUGGAUGCCUUUUAUUAUCAGAGGUAGUGCAUAUUAGAGCUAGAAUUACCAAAACAGAUUUCUCGAUAGUAGAAAUGGUCAAGAAAGUAGAAAUGUGUCCAAACAAUAAAUCUGAAUGGUUUCUGGAAUCAGACAGAAAACAAUGCUCAACUUUAAAC